Non-coding RNA from Bemisia tabaci, 1550 nucleotides. The record is from RefSeq and is a predicted model, not a curated record. NCBI's taxonomy places the organism in Eukaryota, Metazoa, Arthropoda, Insecta, Hemiptera, Aleyrodidae.
UGUUUAUAAGUAUGUAGUGCAACGUUUGUUUGAAUCUCUCACAUAAGUCCCUUUUUAAAAUGAGUAUCACCAAUUCUAAAAUUCAUAUGCCUCGCAAGAAGUUUAAUAUAAGUUUACUAAGCUGUUUUUGUAAGUAGCUGCUUUCUGCCACUCUCUUCAUCAUGCUAGAGAGCAAAAUUAAAAGAGUUCCUGGUCGACUCCCUCCAAUCUCGAGUCAAGACAAAGAGAGCCAGGUAGAAGAUAUCUCCAAAUUGCCAAAAUCUAAACUCCUGGAGCUUAUCGACAGACAGAAGAAAAUCGUGAACAACAGAGCUUUUCUCAGCAGACUUCCGGAUAAAGGUGCUAAAAUUACUUCAAAGUAUGAAAAUUUACUGGCCGAGUUGAAGAAACGAGAGGAUACAGAGACGAACCUGUGUAGUUUGAUGUCAACUUUGGCUGUUGGUAAACAAGAAGUGGCAGAUAUCGAAUGGACUGGAAAUUGCAAUCCGGGAAUCUCAAGAACCAAGGCUGCUGACGAAGGGGCGGAAGAUAGUGAUUCGGAGGAUGUUGAUCCGUUGAAAAUAAUUGCCACCCAUUCUGGCGCCGGGUUUGCAAAAAAGGAACUGCGGAUUGAGAAGCCACAGGAAAGCUUAAUAAAAGAAUCAGAUUUGAAAGACGAUGAUGCGCCAAAUAGACUUGGAACAACAAAUGAACAAGAGGAAGAAGUAGCCUCAGCUUUGAGAAAUAUUGAAGAAUAUGCAGUUCAUUUAUGUGAGAAAUUUGAUGUAACAUCUCCCAAAAAGGAUGAAAAAUUUUAUCCGCAUAAAACUGUCAAAGAGAAACAUGUAAAUAAGUCCAAAGAAAGUUUGAGUCAGAAAGACAAGCCGUGGUGGGAAGUCACCGCUGCAACACCUCCUCUUCCUGUCCAUGAAACCGUUAAAGUUGUUAGUCUUAAAGAAUCCCUCGUCAUACAGCAAAAACAAGCUGAACAGUUAAAGGAAGUACAAGCAAAACAUGCUGCUGAACGUUUGACCAGGAUGCGUGGAAUAUUUCCAGAUUCAACCUCUGUACCUUCAAAUUACGGUGACUAUCGAGAACAAAAAGAGGUGGACUCUGAUGGAACCUCUGAUGACGAAGAAAAAGAGUGUCUGGAUGAGGAAGUUGAACGAGAAAGGGAUGUUGCUGUAUUUUAUAAUGUCGUCGAUUAACAGCAGGAUGGACCCAGCUUUCCCUUCACCUGUCAUGUAAAAAUAGGAUCAGUUGGAGUAGGUCCAUGAUAGCUGUCUGAAAAUGAUUACCACCUAUAAUGACAGUAAAGGUCUUGUUUCAAUGCGAUGCCACUUCAUUGAUGAGGAUCAGAAGUAACCAAAAUAGUAUGGGCUCAAUGAUCUCGCCAUCAACAAUGGAAGUGUAAGUUUACCAAGUGAGUUUAAUUUUUUUUAAUCGAAUUUUUUAACUUAAUUUUGUAAAUGUCUAAAGUUAUUUGUAAAUUUAGUUGUUAUUUUGCCUACUAUUUUGUUUGUACCUGGGAAUAAACAAUUUUUAUCUUUUUUAAUGAUUACAAUCAAAUU